Molecule: non-coding RNA, 21 nt
Filed under: Caenorhabditis elegans
Lineage: Eukaryota; Metazoa; Nematoda; Chromadorea; Rhabditida; Rhabditidae
Source: RNAcentral
UUUUGAACGAAACAUUAUAAU